Molecule: ribosomal RNA, 253 nt
Filed under: uncultured bacterium
Lineage: Bacteria
Description: partial 16S ribosomal RNA
Rfam family: Bacterial small subunit ribosomal RNA
Source: RNAcentral
AACGUAGGAGGCGAGCGUUAUCCGGAGUUACUGGGCGUAAAGAGCGUGUAGGCGGGUGUGCAAGUUUGGCGUGAAAGCUCCCGGCUAAACUGGGAGAGUGCGCUGAAGACUGCAUAUCUAGAGGCGAGUAGAGGGACGUGGAAUUCCGGGUGUAGUGGUGAAAUGCGUAGAGAUCCGGAGGAACACCAGUGGCGAAGGCGACGUCCUGGGCUUGACCUGACGCUGAGACGCGACAGCACGGGGAGCGAACGGG